AUACAACUGGAAAUGUUGUGAUGAUGCAGACUCCAGCUCCCAGUCUUUGCCUCCAGAGGAAAGAGCCACCCUCACCUGCAGGGCCAGAUUAUUGGCAGCUUCUUAGCCUGGUACCAGCAGAAACACAGGCAGCCUCCCAGGCCCCACAUUCAUGGUGUAUGUACCAGGGCCACCUGCACCCCAGCCCUGUUCAGUAGAUAUGAGUCUGGGACAGACUUUACUGUCACCAUCAACAGACUGGAGUCUGAAGAUUUUGCAGUUUAUCACUGCUAUUAG
This is a non-coding RNA of Galeopterus variegatus (Sunda flying lemur), 276 nucleotides long. The record is from the annotation of a RefSeq genome assembly. Lineage: Eukaryota; Metazoa; Chordata; Mammalia; Dermoptera; Cynocephalidae.